This 818-nucleotide ribosomal RNA is filed under the name uncultured bacterium. Its description in RNAcentral is "bacterial SSU rRNA". It matches the Rfam family "Bacterial small subunit ribosomal RNA", at positions 61 to 846 of the family's 1533-position model. The record is from RNAcentral.
GUCGAACGAAACUUCUUUAUCACCGAGUGCUUGCACUCACCGAUAAAGAGUUGAGUGGCGAACGGGUGAGUAACACGUGGGCAACCUGCCCAAAAGAGGGGGAUAACACUUGGAAACAGGUGCUAAUACCGCAUAACCAUAGUUACCGCAUGGUAACUAUGUAAAAGGUGGCUAUGCUACCGCUUUUGGAUGGGCCCGCGGCGCAUUAGCUAGUUGGUGGGGUAAAGGCUUACCAAGGCAAUGAUGCGUAGCCGAACUGAGAGGUUGAUCGGCCACAUUGGGACUGAGACACGGCCCAAACUCCUACGGGAGGCAGCAGUAGGGAAUCUUCCACAAUGGGCGAAAGCCUGAUGGAGCAACGCCGCGUGGGUGAAGAAGGUCUUCGGAUCGUAAAACCCUGUUGUUAGAGAAGAAAGUGCGUGAGAGUAACUGUUCACGUUUCGACGGUAUCUAACCAGAAAGCCACGGCUAACUACGUGCCAGCAGCCGCGGUAAUACGUAGGUGGCAAGCGUUAUCCGGAUUUAUUGGGCGUAAAGGGAACGCAGGCGGUCUUUUAAGUCUGAUGUGAAAGCCUUCGGCUUAACCGGAGUAGUGCAUUGGAAACUGGGAGACUUGAGUGCAGAAGAGGAGAGUGGAACUCCAUGUGUAGCGGUGAAAUGCGUAGAUAUUAGGAGGAACACCAGUGGCGAAGGCGGUCUGCUGGACAGCAACUGACGCUGAGGCGCGAAAGCGUGGGGAGCAAACAGGAUUAGAUACCCUGGUAGUCCACGCUGUAAACGAUGGAUACUAGGUGUGGGGGGACUGACCCCCUCCGUGC